GAUGAACGCUGGCGGCGUGCCUAAUACAUGCAAGUCGAGCGAACAGAUGAGGAGCUUGCUCCUCUGACGUUAGCGGCGGACGGGUGAGUAACACGUGGAUAACCUACCUAUAAGACUGAGAUAACUUCGGGAAACCGGAGCUAAUACCGGAUAAUAUAUUGAACCGCAUGGUUCAAUAGUGAAAGACGGUUUUGCUGUCACUUAUAGAUGGAUCCGCGCCGCAUUAGCUAGUUGGUAAGGUAACGGCUUACCAAGGCAACGAUGCGUAGCCGACCUGAGAGGGUGAUCGGCCACACUGGAACUGAGACACGGUCCAGACCCCUACGGGAGGCAGCAGUAGGGAAUCUUCCGCAAUGGGCGAAAGCCUGACGGAGCAACGCCGCGUGAGUGAUGAAGGUCUUCGGAUCGUAAAACUCUGUUAUUAGGGAAGAACAAAUGUGUAAGUAACUAUGCACGUCUUGACGGUACCUAAUCAGAAAGCCACGGCUAACUACGUG
Molecule: ribosomal RNA, 497 nt
Filed under: uncultured bacterium
Lineage: Bacteria
Description: partial 16S ribosomal RNA
Rfam family: Bacterial small subunit ribosomal RNA
Source: RNAcentral